This 697-nucleotide ribosomal RNA is filed under the name uncultured Actinobacteridae bacterium. RNAcentral's name for it is "bacterial SSU rRNA". It matches the Rfam family "Bacterial small subunit ribosomal RNA", at positions 301 to 1007 of the family's 1533-position model. The record is from RNAcentral. Lineage: Bacteria; Bacillati; Actinomycetota; Actinomycetes.
CGGCCAGCCACACUGGGACUGAGAUACGGCCCAGACUCCUACGGGAGGCAGCAGUAGGGAAUCUUGCGCAAUGGGCGAAAGCCUGACGCAGCGACACCGCGUGAGGGACGACGGCCCUCGGGUUGUAAACCUCUUUCGGCAGGGACGAAGCGAUCGUGACGGUACCUGCAGAAGAAGCUCCGGCUAACUACGUGCCAGCAGCCGCGGUAAGACGUAGGGAGCGAGCGUUGUCCGGAUUCAUUGGGCGUAAAGAGCGCGCAGGCGGUUUGGUAAGUCGGAUGUGAAAACCCGAGGCUCAACCCCGGGCGUGCAUCCGAUACUGCCCGACUAGAGGUAGGUAGGGGAGAUCGGAAUUCCUGGUGUAGCGGUGAAAUGCGCAGAUAUCAGGAGGAACACCGGUGGCGAAGGCGGAUCUCUGGGCCUUACCUGACGCUCAGGCGCGAAAGCUAGGGGAGCGAACAGGAUUAGAUACCCUGGUAGUCCUNGCCGUAAACGUUGGGUGCUAGGUGUGGGCGGAUAUCGACCCCGUCCGUGCCGAAGCUAACGCAUUAAGCACCCCGCCUGGGGAGUACGGCCGCAAGGCUAAAACUCAAAGGAAUUGACGGGGCCCCGCACAAGCGGCGGAGCAUGCUGCUUAAUUCGAUGCGACGCGAAGAACCUUACCUGGGCUUGACAUGCAGGGUGAAACCCGCGAAAG